This 156-nucleotide ribosomal RNA is filed under the name Gigaspora margarita. Its description in RNAcentral is "5.8S ribosomal RNA". It matches the Rfam family "5.8S ribosomal RNA". Rfam says of the family: 5.8S ribosomal RNA (5.8S rRNA) is a component of the large subunit of the eukaryotic ribosome. It is transcribed by RNA polymerase I as part of the 45S precursor that also contains 18S and 28S rRNA. The record is from RNAcentral. Lineage: Eukaryota; Fungi; Glomeromycota; Glomeromycetes; Diversisporales; Gigasporaceae.
ACUUUCAACAAUGGAUCUCUUGGCUCUCGCAUCGAUGAAGAACGCAGCGGAAUGCGAUAAGUAAUAUGAAUUGCAGAAUUCCGUGAAUCAUCAAAUCUUUGAACGCAAAUUGCACUUCUUGGUAUUCCGAGGAGUACACAUGCUUGAGGGUCAGUU